RNAcentral lists this transfer RNA (64 nucleotides) under Sermyloides sp. BMNH 846593. Its description in RNAcentral is "tRNA-Trp". Lineage: Eukaryota; Metazoa; Arthropoda; Insecta; Coleoptera; Chrysomelidae. The record is from RNAcentral.
AAGGAUUUAAGUUAAACAAAACUUUCAGCCUUCAAAGUUGAAUAUAGAUAUAAUCUAAGCCUUA